RNAcentral lists this ribosomal RNA (329 nucleotides) under uncultured bacterium. Its description in RNAcentral is "bacterial SSU rRNA". It matches the Rfam family "Bacterial small subunit ribosomal RNA", at positions 28 to 342 of the family's 1533-position model. The record is from RNAcentral.
GACGAACGCUGGCGGCGUGCCUAACACAUGCAAGUCGAACGCGAAAGACCCCGCAAGGGGCCUGUAGAGUGGCAAACGGGUGAGUAACACGUGGGUGACCUGCCUUCGAGCGGGGGAUAACGUCCCGAAAGGGACGCUAAUACCGCAUGACAUCCUGCCUUUGAAGAGGCGGAGAUCAAAGCCGGGGAUCGCAAGACCUGGCACUCGAUGAGGGGGCCCGCGCCUGAUUAGCUAGUUGGUGAGGUAACGGCUCACCAAGGCAACGAUCAGUAUCCGGCCUGAGAGGGCGGACGGACACACUGGGACUGAGACACGGCCCAGACUCCUAC